RNAcentral lists this ribosomal RNA (253 nucleotides) under uncultured bacterium. RNAcentral describes it as "partial 16S ribosomal RNA". It matches the Rfam family "Bacterial small subunit ribosomal RNA", at positions 524 to 776 of the family's 1533-position model. The record is from RNAcentral.
UACGUAGGGUGCAAGCGUUGUCCGGAAUUAUUGGGCGUAAAGAGCUUGUAGGUGGUUUGUUAAGUCUGAUGUGAAAGCCCUGGGCUCAACCUGGGAACGGCAUUGGAAACUGGCUUACUAGAGUGCGGUAGAGGGGUGUGGAAUUCCCGGUGUAGCAGUGAAAUGCGUAGAUAUCGGGAGGAACAUCUGUGGCGAAGGCGACACCCUGGACCAGCACUGACACUGAGGCACGAAAGCGUGGGGAGCAAACAGG